Molecule: ribosomal RNA, 500 nt
Filed under: uncultured bacterium
Lineage: Bacteria
Description: partial 16S ribosomal RNA
Rfam family: Bacterial small subunit ribosomal RNA
Source: RNAcentral
GAUGAACGCUGGCGGCGUGGAUAAGGCAUGCAAGUCAAACGGCAGCACGGGAGCAAUCCUGGUGGCGAGUGGCGAACGGGUGAGUAAAGUAUCGGAACGCGCCCAGUCGUGGGGGAUAGCGUAGCGAAAGUUACGCUAAUACCGCAUACGUUCUAUGGAUGAAAGCGGGGGAUCGCAAGACCUCGCGCGAUUGGAGCGGCCGAUAUCAGAUUAGGUAGUUGGUGGGGUAAAGGCUCACCAAGCCGACGAUCUGUAGCUGGUCUGAGAGGACGACCAGCCACACUGGGACUGAGACACGGCCCAGACUCCUACGGGAGGAAGCAGUGGGGAAUUUUGGACAAUGGGCGCAAGCCUGAUCCAGCCAUGCCGCGUGCAGGAUGAAGGCCUUCGGGUUGUAAACUGCUUUUGUACGGAACGAAAAGGUUUGGCCUAAUACGCUGAACUCAUGACGGCACCGUAAGAAUAAGCACCGGCUAACUACGUGCCAGCAGCCGCCGUAA